AGGAUCUCAAAUGGUCAGCCCUCGGAAAAUCACUCUGUCAUAAAAGGACAGUUUAAAUCUCAUCAUCCCACCGCAAUGUAGUGACCUCUUUCCACUAUCACAAACGACCAGAUUUCCCCUGCCUCCCAGCUUUUGGCACAUUCAUGUGGGGAUUUUCAUGCUGUUCAUGUUGCUGCUUUCACUGGACAUAUGGGGAGGGGCUGGGGAGUCCGAGGCAUUAUGAUGUUGGAGCCAGUGACACUCUUUCUAGGGGAAAUUGUAGCUGGAGUCUGUCUCUUCUAGAACUAGGGGCAUGUAAUCCUCUGUGUGUGAGCCAGAAGGCAAUGGAAGAUUCAGUGGGGAAGCCUAUGAUGUUUGUAUGAUGUUAGUAACAGGUUUUCCCCAUGGGGCGAAUGUAUAUUGAGUGGUAUUGGUCCCACUGAGCUCAUUAAGACGUCUGCCAUAGAGGAGAUAAAACUUUGUUCAAUCUGAGAAGUCCAGAGGAAAAAAAGUUGACGGGGAGAACCUAGCUUUUUAAACGGUCUGUAAUCCAAGAUGUCUAUAAAGAACUGGGAUAUCAAUAGGAAAUCAUCUUCAUCCAGACUUAUUCCUGAGUGGAAGAACUUGAAGUUCCUCAUAAAUAAGAUCUUGAAGAACAUAAAGACUGAUGAAGAACCAAAGAAUGAUGUGGUUCUACUGAGUGACUGGCCUGAGACUCUAUACCGGGAGUCUCACCAUCGCCAGAACAAGCCUUUUGUCUGCUUCUACUACUCCAUCAAGGUCAACUGUUUUGUCUCCUUAAACUGGAUGGAACCUGGUGGAAAAAUGCAGGCAGUACUUUGGAUACAGAAAAAGGGUACAGAAAUGAAAGGAAUGGUAGAGAAGAUGAGGCUUCGCGUGAUGGAUCAGCUGCCGCCCAUCCAAGCAAUGGUCCACACAGGUUCCUACCACAUGUUAAUUGCUUACUGUGGUGACAUGCGCCUGAGGCUUUUUGGAGAUCACCAUCAAGCGUUCAGAUGUCUGGGUACAGUGCCCUGUCAUUUCUCCACCAGCUGCCUCUUCUAUGAUCCAGCAACUGAGUUGCUGCUAUGUGGUACCCUGGGGGCUGUGGUUACCUGGUUUAUCUUACCAAAUGGCAGGAGCAUCGAGAUGGCUCAAAUAGUCCCUAUGGCUAAUCAUGAGCUUGUACAGGGAUUUUCCCUGAAUGGCCCCCAGGGAUCCCUGUUGGCUCUGUGUGAGGAUACAGUGAGGGUCUUCAUUCACCGGGGUCAGGGCCAGCUGGAAGAAGUGAAGAAGUUCACGCCUGUCGCCAGUGGCUCUUCCAUCACUUGCUCCUUUACUUGUGUCUCUCAGGGCAAUUUCUACGCUGGAAACAGGGCUGGAGAGAUCCACGCUUGGGGUUUAGACCAGGGUAACUUCCUCCACAGCUUUCAAGCCCAUUCCUCAUCAGUGAUAUGUAUCCAUAGCCGGCCAGAGAUCCACACCUUACUAACAGCAGGCAGUGAAGGCACAGUGAGGGAAUGGAAUCUCACUUAUGGGAACUUGCUACGGCAGCUGAAUGUUGACGAGGAUCUUCAGAGACUGCAGUUUAUUGAUAAUACCACUUUUUUCUGCCAGACCACCUACAGUUUUUCAUUGCAUCACCUGCCCUACUUUUAUAGCCUCUUCAAUGUCUGUGGUUCUGCUCCCCAGCAGGUGCAGCGGGUCUGCUGCGGCCAUAACUGGACUCGGAUUCUAUGUGCCACUGAGGAUGGUUUAUUGCGCUUCUUAUCUCCAGUAACAGGGGAUCUCCUGGUUAUCACCUGGCCUCUACUUGUUAUGGAUAAGGCUUUGGCUUGGGCCUAUGACUCAGAGAGAGAGGAGCUCUUUGUGGCAUUAGGCAGUUCAGAGGUGCUGGUGUUUGAUGCAACACGCUCUCCUUGUACAGUCAAGUAUCUUGUGUGCACUUCAGCAGACGGUAAGGAUAGAGUAACAUGCUUGGCUUAUGGGAGGUCCCAUCUGCAAAAAGGCCUAGGAGGAUUGAUGUUCUGUGGGCAUGAGAGUGGCGUUGUGAGAAUCCUUUCCCACUAUAGUCGUGCCCGAAUAGAGAAGACUGUUCACUCUGGGGCAGUAUUGGCAUUGUCCACCCUGGAAGGCCCUCAGGAAAAUGCCUUGCUUUGUUCCUAUGGCAUGGAUAACAUCAUACACUUGACAGAGGCCGUGCUUCAGGUGAACAAGGUAGUCCUUCAGCCUGUCAGCAAAAUCCUCUGUGGAUGCCCCCUAAAACAUGUGAUACUCUUGCCAGGUUCUGUGGGUGCCAUCACUGAAAGCUACUGCUGGCGUCUCUGGCACUAUGAAGGCUCUCUGACAUCUUCAGAAUCAAAACAGAGCUUUGUGUGGAGAGAGACAAAAUGCCUGCAUGCGUGUGACAUCACUUCAUUUGAUGUCUGCCUUCCCCUGAAACUUUUUGUCACAGGUGGCAUUGAUGGCUCAGUCCGGAUCUGGGACUUUCACGGUAGACUUGUAACCGAGUUCGACUCAGCCCUGCAUUUUGGCCCACUCUGCUUUGCCAAUAAUCGAGGUGACCUGUUGUUGACUUUCAACCAGAGUAUCUACAUAGUAUCUUGCUUAAAGCUUCUCCCUCCAGCUCAGCUGGUUCACCUGCGUAUCCUAAAAAAUGCAGAUGAAAUACAAGAAGUCCCUAAACCCUUCCUUCCUAGCUUCUUCUUUAUGUUUGAAACAGUAUUUGUACCCAGAUUUGUCUACCUUGGAAGAGGGCGGCAGGAAUUACAGGGGCUAGAGACCCUUGUCAACAAACGGUUCAUUGCCUUCGACAAUACUGUGCCUCAUGUUGUAGAAGAAGAGAGAAGCGUGUCCCUUGUGAUUCAAAAGACCAAAUUUCCUUUUUUUGAGGCUAAGGAUAUUGAUUUCUCUACUCUUGAUUCCAAGGAUAAUCUUCCCCGACAUGAGGUUCCUGCUCAGUUGCAGCUGGCUGGCUGGGAUGGAUUCAAUGCCUACCAAAUGCUACGGUGCUUCUUUGGUCAAGGGCGGCAAUGGCCCUUUGCUCCUGAUGGCUACAUCCCUAACUCAGUGAUCCGUGCCCGCCUUUGGCCUGAGGGUACCCCAGUCUUCCUAUGCUGUGAUCUGUAUUCAUCCUACCGAGUUAAGGACUGGGACUUGUCAUCUAUGACGCUAGUAGAAGAGAAAAUUUCAAAGAGUCAACAGAAGGAUAAAUCCAAGGAGCGAAAAGGAACCUCCCUUGAUAUGCUUGAAAGCAUGGCAAACCAAAAUUGGAUGAGACGAAAAUAUAGUGGAAGGCUUAUGGAUGAUUUAAUAGAGGCCAUUCUCAACCUCACAAUUUACUGCUCUGUAGAGGAAUACAAGAGAUAUUUUAGGGUACUUAAACGUAUUUUUGCCACUUGCCAGAUACCUUCAGAAUUGGUUUCUAAGACUGCCCAUCGCCUCCUGCAAGAUACAACCCAUUCCAAUCCACAUAUCCGUGAGCUAGCCUGGGAGGUACUAGAUAGGCUAGGCCUCAUGAACCAUCAUUUUGCUAUUCCACUGACUAUGGGAUUGAUGGACAGUGAUGAGAAUGUGCGGGCUAAGGCCUUAUACCUUAUGGUAAGAGUCACAGGCAUCCAAACCAAGACCAGGCUGGUACAACUGCUGAAGAAACAAGAAACUCUCCAGAAAAUGCAGCAAGAAAUUAUUGGGGAAAUCACUCUGGGACAACUGCUGAAUAUUCAAGCUGAAGAUAUACAGUCCCUGCUUAUUCAUGUGGAGCAGCAGCUAAAUGAAAACUUGACCUUGUUACAAAGAGAAAAGUCAUUUACUUUUUCUUUUGAUAUACCAUGGUCUGAAGAACUUAAAGUCUUUUCUAAAGACAUGCUCGUACCUUUGUCAGAACCUGUAAAGAUCACCAAACCAAAGAAAAGAAAGAGACAUUUUCAAGAAAGAAGCAGAAAGCUUAUUAAAAAGGACCUGAGAGUUGCCAGGAAGCACAGAAAGACAAAGUUGGGAAAGUCUAGUUCCAUGUUGAUGCCUUCAGAAGAUGCAGGUGAACAAAGAGAGGCCAGGAAAUCAGAGCAAGUUGAAACCCAACAUGUUACCUUAGAGCCAGAGCUACCACUGAGUUCUUUAAGCACAGUCAAAUCCCAGGAUUAUGCUGAAACAGAGAAGGAGGUCAUUUUACAAGUUAUAGAGGCCAUGGAGGCCACAGAAGCCCUGGAGGCCACAGACACCAUGGAAGCCAUAGAUCAAGGUAGCAUGAAAGAUUAUGGAGACGUGAUCUCUAAGUUGGAAAGAAAAGAACACAUUAAAAGGCUUUGGAAAAAGGCAAUGAGAAAAACCCACAGAAUAGCAGAUGUGCAGUGGAAAGAGAAACAAGAUUUGAAGGAUAUUUCAGAGGUGACUACAGAAAAACCUAAGGAAGAUGUCAUAAAAAUUGGUGAGCAAGAAGAAGGUAAAUGGAAGAAAAGUGAAAAGAAGAAGACCCGGGGUUUGGCUGGGACCCCUGGACAUGCAGGUAGACCAGACACCAGAUCUUGGAGGGAUGACAUUUGCUCUCUUGUCACUUCAAGGAUAGCAAGUUCCCAUCCAGGAAUGUUAAGGGAUCUGGGCAAAGAAUUGGUAGGCCUGGCUGGGGUGAUACUUGCUGACCGACAGCCCAGCUGGAAUCUCUUCCAAGAGAUAUGCCCCCUUUUAAAGGAUUCAAGCUCAGUCUCAUUAGAAUUAGAUGACAGAAUAUUGGAAGAAACACCCACCAUAACAAAACAAGUCAUUAAAGGGGGCGUCAAGGACAAAAGGACAGGAGUAUUGACAGAACAAGAGGAUAAAAAAGCAUUAAAGGAAGAUGAGAAGUUUUCUCAAGAAGAAAAGAAAAAGAAAGCUGUUUUCCCAGCAGAUCGCUUAGUCUUAGAGAAAAGGAAAUUUAAAAGAAAAAUGGGGAAACUGGCCAAGCAAGAAAGGAAAAUAGCUAAGGAAGAAAGGAAACCGACAAAGCCAGAGGAAAAAAUGCAGAGAAAGGAGAAACCAACCAAAGAUAAAAAGAAACUGACCCAUCCAGAAGAAAAAAUGGCCAAGGAAGAAGAAAUACUUGCUUCCCCACAAAAGGAAUUAAUUAUGGAAGAUCAGAAGUUAGUCCUAGAGGAAAAAAGACUAACUGGAAAAAGGGGACAACUACUAGGGAAAGGAAAGAAAGUGAUCAGGAAAAAGAAGCCAAUACUGAAAAGGGAAAGGUUGGAAUGGGAAAAGAUGCAGGCCCAGGAGGAAAGCAUGAGGGCCCAGGAAAAGAAAGAGCUGGCUGGGGAAGAGGAGGAGCUGGCUGGGGAAGAGAAGGAGCUGGCUGGGGAAGAGGAGGAGCUGGCAGGGGAAGAGGAGAAGCUGGCUGGGGAAGAGGAGGAGCUGGCUGAGGAAGAGGAAGAGCUGGCUGGGGAAGAGGAGGAGCUGGCUGAGGAAGAGGAGGAGCUGGCAGGGGAAGAGGAGAAGCUGGCUGGGGAAGAGGAGGAGCUGGCUGAGGAAGAUAAAGAGCUGGCUGAGGAAGAGGAGGUGGCAGGGGAAGAGGAGGAGCUGGCUGAGGAAGAGGAGGAGCUGGCUGGGGAAGAGGAGGAGCUGGCUGAGGAAGAGGAGGAGCUGGCUGAGGAAGAGGAGGAGCUGGCUGGGGAAGAGGAGGAGCUGGCUGAGGAAGAGGAGGAGGUGGCUGGGGAAGAGGAGGAGGUGGCUGAGGAAAAGGAAGCACUAAUCCUAGACGUAGAGAAACAAGUUGGAGAAAGGAAGAAACACAUCUGGGAAAAGGAGAAACAUGUUGAGGAAGAGGAGAAAGAGGCCUGGGAACUGGGGAAACUGGUUCAGGAUCAUUGGUCUAGAGAAGAGGAAGGACUGUCUGGGAAAGAGAGAGAACAGACAUUAGAAAGGGAGAGGUUGGCAGAGCAAGAGAGUAAAUUAAUCCAAAAAGAGAAAUGGUUUGGCAAAGAGGCCCUUUAUGGGGAGCAGGAGCAACAAGACCAGACAGAGAGGCAGGCUCAAAAAGAGGAGAGCAAACAGUUAGCCUGGGAAAGAAAGAAACUGUACCUAGAAGACAAUGAAAAGUUUGGAGAACUGGAGAAAUUGUCACAAGAAGAAGAGAAAUUAGCUCAAAAAAUGGAGCAAGAAGCUGAGAAAAGAAAACAAUGGGCCAGAGAAAAAAUAAAAUGGGUCUCAGAAGAGGAAAAAAUCACAGAGGAAAUCAAGAAAGGGUCCCCAAAAGGAGAGAAACAGACCAUAGGAAAAGAGAAAAAAGCUAAGAAAAAGAAGAAACAGAUUGAGAAAGAUGAGAAAGCAAUUGAGGAAAAAGAACAAUGGAUUCAGGAAAAACUAGCCUUACAAAAGGAGAAACUGGCCCACGAAGAGAGAGUAUGGAGUCAGAAAGACAAGAAACGGGCCCGGAAAAAGAAGAAAGAGGUAGAGCCAAAAAAACGAGUCUGGAAAAAAGAGAAAUUGUCCUUAGAAGAGAAGGAACAGGCUGGUGAAAUGGAGGAACAGUUCCAGGAAAAAGAGAAAGAGGCCAAGGAAAUAGAGAAAAGGGCAUUGGCAAAGAGACAGGCCCCAAAAGACAGUAAACUGGCCAAGAAAGAGAGUCAUAUUGCUGAGAAAGAAAAGGCAAUGGCCAGGGAAGGAAUUGGCAUAACUGAGAAAAAGAAAAAAAUAACCCAGGAAGAGAAAGAAAUUAUGAAAGAAGAGGGCAAAUUGUCCCAGGAAGACAGGACACUGGCCUAUGACAUUAUGACCAAGGACAGAGACGUUGCCAAGAAGAAAAAGAAAACCAAAGAAGAAAGAAAACAGGCAAUGAGAAAACUGGAUAUGGAAAAAGGGAUUGGUUCUGAAGAGAAAGAGGCUCACUUCAGGGAAGAAAAUAUAAGAAUGAAAGAGAAUCAACUGUUUGGGAUCCUGGCACGAAUAGUUAGAGAAUUGGUUACAGUUCCUUCAGAAGAAAGAGAAAUAACUGAGGGAGAGACAUCAUCCAUUAUAGAAAAGAGUGAAAUUGAUGGCGGCAGGUGGGAAUUUUUUAAAGAACAGAGGGAAUUAAUUAAAGAAGAGAAGGAACAGGCUCAGAAAGAUAGGAAACUAGAAGAUAGACUGGCCACCAACGAGAGAAUGCUAACUGAUAAAGAGAGCUCGGAGGAGGACCAAAAGUUAUUAGAGGAGGUCCAGGAAAAUAUACUAUUCAAUAAAAUCCAGGUACAGACUAUGUUAAAGGAGUUUCAGAAGACAAAUUUGUUAGAAAAAAGGCAGGUAGAGGAGCUUCUGAAGAAAGUUGAGGAGCGUGAACUAGAGAAGACUCAGAUGAAGUGGUUAUUAGAUAAUCUCAGAGGUAUACUAUUUGAGGGCUUAUAUAAGAGCUUGACUGAGAAGGAAACAGAGGAAGGUCUAAUUAAGAAGGGGAAAGAGAAGGAAAUUCUGCCCAAGAAAGAGAAAAGGAAACAUCUGAUUAAGAAAAAGGAAGCAAGUACAAAUGAAGAGGAAUUGGAGGAUAACUUGACUAAGAAGCUAAAAGAAAAGGGUUUGACUCAAAAAAGGAAAAUGGAAAAGAGGUUGACUAAAGAGAAAGAGAGUCUAAUUAAGCAAAAAGAGGGCCCACAAGAGGAAGAGAAGAGCCUUAGUGAAGAUGAGUGGGGGCGCUGGAGUGAGGAGGAGGAAGAGGAGAGCCUGAGUGAGGAGGGAGAGGAGAGUUUGAGUGAGGAGGAGGAAGAGAGCCUGAGUGAGGAGGACAGCUUGAGUGAAGAGGAGGAGAGCCUGAGUGAGGAGGAGGAGAGCCUGAGUGAGGAGGAGGAGGAGAGCUUGAGUGAGGAGGAGAAGGAAAGCCUGAGUGAGGAGGAGGAGAGCCUGAGUGAGGAGGAGGAGAGCUUGAGUGAGGAAGAGGAGAGCUUGAGUGAAGAGGAGGAGGAGGAGGAAAUGGAAGAAAAAAAGAAGGAGGAGGAGAAAAGGCAGAAGGAUGUGGAAAGCCUGAGUGAAGAGAAGGAAAAGGAGAGCAGACUGAUGGAGGCAAUGUUCUCAGAAGAGGAGAGAGUAUUGAAAACAAAGUUCCCAAAGGAAGAGGUGAGAUUAUCCAAGCUGGUGACAGAAGGUGAGGAUCUUGCUGAGGAAAGCGAGGGUACAGCUAAAGGAGAAAUGCAUUUUAAGAAAGAGGGCUUGCUUGAGGUAAGGAAAGACUCCAGACUUAUGGACAAGGCUAUGUGGCCAACAGUUCCGAAGAGCCCCUCCAAAAUACCAUUCCAGGUAACCCUGGAGGAAAAAGAGGGAACACCCCUGAAAGUGUUAGAGGAUCACUUGGAUUCAGAAAACAGACAGGGCCGUCAACUUCUUGGAGUACACCCCGUGACAAGUUCACUGGGAAGAGAAGAGAAUGAACUCUUGGAGAAAGCCAGGGGUAUGUUUUUACAAGCCAUGGAAACAGGCUUAGAGACCCAGGUCCCAGAAGGUCUCCACAGGCCAGAGUUUCAAUUAUCUGAUACUUCCAUGGAACCACACAAACCUAAACACAGACACAAAGGUGAAAGAUGGAAGUGGCUCUUGGGGUAUCAGGAUUCUUUGAUGGGGGAAACUAAGGGUCAGGCUCCAGCUCCAGUCCCAGCCUUUUCACCUGAAAUGCCAGAUAGGAGAUAUCGAAGGCUGGCCUUCUCAGAAGCAAGCUUCUCAGACGAGGAUUGGAUUAACAAUGCCUUACAAAGGUUGGAAGCAGGAAAGCAACUUUCCAGGGACAGUUUUCAUCGACUGAGUCAGAUCCUCAGAGACUUUACUUCAAAGAGAUACUUGAAAUGGAUGCGUAUGUCCAAUCUUAAGGUCAUUGCUAAACAUCUCAGGCAGAACCUAGAGUUAAGUCGCACUGAUACAUUACAACUCUGUAAGGAAGUUUUGAGUCCAGUGCACUUAAAAGAGAUCCCUCCAAUUAGAAGAAAAGAAACACAGAAAUGGUUGGGGCUGUCCUUUGUGCCCAAACCAGUAUUACCAUCAGCCAUCAAGAGGACUCAGACCCCACAGGCUCUCAGCUGGCAUCUCUUAGCUGAGUCCCAUAGGAAGAAGCAGUCACAACAGUUAUCUACUGCUCUCAAGGAGAUAAAGCACCUUUAUCCAGUCACAAGGGAUGUUCCUACAGCGGUUUGUCCCACUGUGGAUAAGAAAUCUCUAGCCUUGGUAUUUGAGAAGUACUUCCCAACCUUGAGGAGGAAGGGUGAGAUUUGGAGAUCUCACCCUUUGGCAAAGGAGGAAGCACUGCCCAUCCCUGCUCCAGUGAUAUCACCAAUUACCAAGAGGAUUCAAGUCCCGAAAGCUAUGAACUGGCAUCUUUUGGAAGAGCCUCACAGGAGUGCGCGGGUACAACGGUUAUCUGAUGCCCUCAAAGAGAUGGAGAUGCAACAUUUUUAUCCUGCCACAAGAGACAUUUUCACAGGUGCCCAUGCCUCUGUGGACAAACAAACUCUAGCACUAAUGUUUCAGAAGGAUCUCGGGGCUUUUAAGGGUAAGGGCAGGCCCCCUAAAUUGCCCAAGUUGGAGAAGAAGGCACAAUCCAUCUCUAAAAAGAAGGAAGAGAUGCCUUUGUGGGAGACGUUUGUGGCACUGUACCAUGUUUUGCGGAUGCUGCAGCAGCGAUAUGCAAAAGACAGUGCUGCUUGGAUGGAACAGUUCUACCAGCUCAUGGACCUGUACCAACUUAAGUCCCCUAGAAUCCAGAGGCUUCUACUAGAGUUACUGCAGACAGAGGAACUUCAACCCCAAGAGACCAUUUACAAAAAUGCCCUGAAGACCAAGGAGCUGGCACAUGGUGAGCGUUUGUUCUACCACCUGUUUUGUGGUCAUUCCCAUGACCCUGCAGGUCCCCUCAAGUUCCAGGAUGUGGUACCCCUCCCUGGGCAGAACAAAGUCCAUACUAUCCAACCUGAGGGCAUUGCCCAGUAUGGUUUCCUACAACUUGCCUGGAAAAGCCUACCGCAAGUCAGUCCUCACCGUAUUGAGAGGCUGCCCAGUGUUCCUACUCCUACUAUGAUUGGGCUUAAUAUUAGGACUUUGGGAUUCUAUGGGAAAAUGAGCCUGGGCCACAGAUUUUAA
This is a long non-coding RNA of Rhinopithecus bieti (black snub-nosed monkey), 10038 nucleotides long. Lineage: Eukaryota; Metazoa; Chordata; Mammalia; Primates; Cercopithecidae. The record is from Ensembl.